UUGACGGGGAGCACCACAACAGGUGGAGCCUGCGGUUAAUCGGACUCAACGCCGGGAAACUCACCAGAUAAGACAGCUGAAUGAUAGUCGGGCUGAAGACUCUACUUGACUAGCUGAGAGGAGGUGCAUGGCCGUCGUCAGUUCGUACUGUGAAGCAUCCUGUUAAGUCAGGCAACGAGCGAGACCCACGCCAACAGUUGCCAGCGUACUCUCUGGAGUGACGGGUACACUGUGGGGACCGCCGCUGCUAAAGCGGAGGAAGGAAUGGGCAACGGUAGGUCAGUAUGCCCCGAAUAUCCCGGGCUACACGCGAGCUACAAUGGUUGGUACAAUGGGUAUCUACCCCGAAAGGGGACGGGAAUCUCCUAAAACCAAUCUUAGUUCGGAUUGAGGGCCGCAACUCGCCCUCAUGAAGCUGGAAUCCGUAGUAAUCGCGUUUCAACAGAACGCGGUGAAUACGUCCCUGCUCCUU
This 472-nucleotide ribosomal RNA is filed under the name uncultured Methanolinea sp. RNAcentral describes it as "bacterial SSU rRNA". It matches the Rfam family "Archaeal small subunit ribosomal RNA", at positions 871 to 1337 of the family's 1478-position model. The record is from RNAcentral. Lineage: Archaea; Methanobacteriati; Methanobacteriota; Methanomicrobia; Methanomicrobiales; Methanoregulaceae.